This 72-nucleotide transfer RNA is filed under the name Puccinia sorghi. It matches the Rfam family "tRNA". From Rfam's summary of the family: Transfer RNA (tRNA) molecules are approximately 80 nucleotides in length. Their secondary structure includes four short double-helical elements and three loops (D, anti-codon, and T loops). The record is from Rfam by way of RNAcentral. Lineage: Eukaryota; Fungi; Basidiomycota; Pucciniomycetes; Pucciniales; Pucciniaceae.
GCAUACUUAGCUCAAUGGACAGAGCAUCACUCAUGAAUGCUGAGGUUGUGGGUUUGAGUCCCACAGUACACA